Molecule: transfer RNA, 72 nt
Filed under: Euglena viridis
Lineage: Eukaryota; Euglenozoa; Euglenophyceae; Euglenales; Euglenaceae
Description: tRNA-Asn
Rfam family: tRNA
About the family: Transfer RNA (tRNA) molecules are approximately 80 nucleotides in length.
Source: RNAcentral
UCCUCAAUAGCUCAAUGGUAGAGCAAUCGGCUGUUAACCGGUUUGUUGUAGGUUCGAAUCCUACUUGGGGAG